AUGGGGGGACCAUCCUCCAAGGCUAAAUACUCCUGACUGACCGAUAGUGAACCAGUACCGUGAGGGAAAGGCGAAAAGAACCCCUGUGAGGGGAGUGAAAUAGAACCUGAAACCGUGUACGUACAAGCAGUAGGAGCCCACUUGUUGGGUGACUGCGUACCUUUUGUAUAAUGGGUCAGCGACUUAAUUUUAGUAGCAAGGUUAACCGUUUAGGGGAGCCGUAGGGAAACCGAGUCUUAACUGGGCGUCAUAGUUGCUAGGAUUAGACCCGAAACCGAGUGAUCUAGCCAUGGGCAGGUUGAAGGUGAGGUAACACUUACUGGAGGACCGAACCGACUAAUGUUGAAAAAUUAGCGGAUGACUUGUGGCUAGGGGUGAAAGGCCAAUCAAACUCGGAGAUAGCUGGUUCUCCCCGAAAGCUAUUUAGGUAGCGCCUCGGACGAAUACUACUGGGGGUAGAGCACUGUUAAGGCUAGGGGGUCAUCCCGACUUACCAACCCUUUGCAAACUCCGAAUACCAGUAAGUAAUAUCCGGGAGACACACGGCGGGUGCUAACGUCCGUCGUGAAGAGGGAAACAACCCAGACCGCCAGCUAAGGUCCCAAAGUUAUAGCUAAGUGGGAAACGAUGUGGGAAGGCUCAGACAGCCAGGAUGUUGGCUUAGAAGCAGCCAUCAUUUAAAGAAAGCGUAAUAGCUCACUGGUCGAGUCGGCCUGCGCGGAAGAUUUAACGGGGCUAAGCUAUACACCGAAGCUGCGGCAAUAUG
RNAcentral lists this ribosomal RNA (766 nucleotides) under Photobacterium phosphoreum. RNAcentral describes it as "bacterial LSU rRNA". It matches the Rfam family "Bacterial large subunit ribosomal RNA", at positions 444 to 1212 of the family's 2925-position model. The record is from RNAcentral. Lineage: Bacteria; Pseudomonadati; Pseudomonadota; Gammaproteobacteria; Vibrionales; Vibrionaceae.